AUGAACCAUAAAUUGUAAGUUUCUUCAUAUCUAGCAAUCCUUUAAAAUGCUGAAUAUCUUUAGUAGUAGAGAGUGCAUAAAUACCACCCGAAUAGAGCUAAUUCCGCUCCUGGUGGCACUUUGAAGCCCGACCGAGCUUACACUCGCGGCAACAAAUGAAGCUAACAACUCGGACGGCGUCUGGCAGUCGUCGAUGUCGCCUGGUCGUCGUAUUCCUCGAUCUCCGCCACUGGCCUGUCUGGAUCUGUGCUCUGCUCCUCGGCGGCAAUGCGAUUGGCUUUGGCUUUGGCUGUGGCUGUAGCUCUGGGCCUUGGCAGUGCCUGUUGGCCAUGGCUGUGGGGCAACAACAAUUGCGAAUAGCAACCGCCGCAACAGCGGAGACAGGAACAAAACAACAACAUUCAUGGCUGCGACUUUGGAGCUCUGGACUGAGGAGCUUACAACGACAAUUAUAAAAUGAUGACAAUAACAACAACA
Drosophila yakuba is the source of this 477-nucleotide long non-coding RNA. RefSeq lists it as uncharacterized. Lineage: Eukaryota; Metazoa; Arthropoda; Insecta; Diptera; Drosophilidae. The transcript has 2 exons. The record is from RefSeq and is a predicted model, not a curated record.